This 775-nucleotide ribosomal RNA is filed under the name Russula sp. 3 ZWG-2011. RNAcentral describes it as "eukaryotic LSU rRNA". The stretch from base 631 to 775 matches the Rfam family "Eukaryotic large subunit ribosomal RNA", at positions 1 to 143 of the family's 3401-position model. Lineage: Eukaryota; Fungi; Basidiomycota; Agaricomycetes; Russulales; Russulaceae. The record is from RNAcentral.
UCGUAGGUGACCUGCGGAAGGAUCAUUAUCGUACAAUGGAGGUGCUGGGGUUGUCGCUGACCUUUGAAAGGGUCGUGCACGCCUCGGUGCUUUCACACAUAAUCCAUCUCACCCCUUUUGUGCAUCACCGCGUGGGGGCCCCUUUUAGCUAGGUCUGAAGGGGGCUUUCACGUUUUUACAAACACACCCUUUUAAUGGCAAAAUGUAAAAGGCCUAACUUUUUGCAAUAACCCCCAUUCAAUACAACUUUCACAACCGAACCUCUGGGUUCUCGCACCAAUAAAAAACCCACCGAAAGGCGAUACUAAUGGUGAAUUGCGAAAUUCAUGGAAUCUCCAAACCUUUAAACCCACCUGGCGCCCUUUGGCAUUCCAAAGGGAACACCCGUUUGAGGGUCUGGCCAUCUUCAAACCUCCUGGGUUUCUUGACCAAAAAGGUUUUGAACUUUGAAGGCUUUUGUGGGACCUUCCCUGGUGGAACCCAGCUCUUCUAAAUGAAAUAAGUGGGUUUGGUUUGGUGGACCCUGGAGGGGUUAAAAGGUUUUUACUUCUUGGGUUUUCCACGGUUUGUUUAGGACCUGGUUUUUACCCUUUUCAUGGAAGCCAAAGGUUCACCUUGACCCACAAACCUUGACCUCAAAUCGGGUGAGACUACCCGCUGAACUUAAGCAUAUCAAUAAGCGGAGGAAAAGAAACUAACAAGGAUUCCCCUAGUAACUGCGAGUGAAGCGGGAAAAGCUCAAAUUUAAAAUCUGGUGGUCUUUGGCCAUCCGAGU